RNAcentral lists this ribosomal RNA (842 nucleotides) under uncultured bacterium. RNAcentral's name for it is "bacterial SSU rRNA". It matches the Rfam family "Bacterial small subunit ribosomal RNA", at positions 66 to 926 of the family's 1533-position model. The record is from RNAcentral.
ACGGACGUGAUAGCGAUAUUACGUUAGUGGCGAACGGGUGAGUAACACAUGGGUGACCUGCCCCGAAGUGGGGGAUAGCAGUUCGAAAGGACUGAUAAUACCGCGUAAGCUUGUUGUAGUUAGAGAGCGACAAGUAAAGGUUUUCGAAUCGCUUCGGGAGGGGCCUGUGUCCCAUCAGCUAGUUGGUAAGGUAACGGCUUACCAAGGCGGAGACGGGUAGGGGGCCUGAGAGGGUGGCCCCCCACAAUGGAACUGAAACACGGUCCAUACACCUACGGGUGGCAGCAGUAGGGAAUAUUGCACAAUGGACGAAAGUCUGAUGCAGCAACGCCGCGUGUGCGAAGAAGGCCUUCGGGUUGUAAAGCACUUUUGGCGGGGAAGAGGAAGGACAGUACCCGCAGAAUAAGCUUCGGCUAACUACGUGCCAGCAGCCGCGGUAACACGUAGGAAGCGAGCGUUAUCCGGAUUUACUGGGCGUAAAGCGCGUGCAGGCGGUUGGGUAAGUUGGAUGUGAAAGCUCCUGGCUUAACUGGGAGAGGUCGUUCAAGACUGCUCGACUGGAGUGCGAAAGAGGGAGGUAGAAUUCCGAGUGUAGUGGUGAAAUGCGUAGAUAUUCGGAGGAAUACCAGAGGCGAAGGCGGCCUCCUGGUUCGCAACUGACGCUGAGACGCGAAGGCUAGGGUAGCAAACGGGAUUAGAGACCCCGGUAGUCCUAGCAGUAAACGAUGUAGACUAGACGUUGGCGAUGUAAAAGUUGUCAGUGUCGGAGCAAACGCGAUAAGUCUACCGCCUGGGGGAUUACGGCCGCAGGCUAAACUCAAGGGAAUUGACGGGACCCGCAC